This 42-nucleotide transfer RNA is filed under the name Astelia chathamica. RNAcentral's name for it is "partial tRNA-Phe". Lineage: Eukaryota; Viridiplantae; Streptophyta; Magnoliopsida; Asparagales; Asteliaceae. The record is from RNAcentral.
UCGGGNUAGCUCAUUUGGUANAGCAAAGGACUGAAAAUCCUC